Gallus gallus (chicken) is the source of this 1669-nucleotide long non-coding RNA. The record is from Ensembl. NCBI's taxonomy places the organism in Eukaryota, Metazoa, Chordata, Aves, Galliformes, Phasianidae.
UAUAUGCAUGUAUGUGCCUUUAAAGGUAUCUCAGGUUGGUGUCUGAGAGUAUCAACACUUGUACAGUCCUAUGGAGAUGUAAACAUGUGAAUGCACUGCAUUUGAGCUGUGACCCUUCAACAGACAUUAAAAUAGAAAACAUCUGUAGGAGGAAGAAGAGUAUGAGUACAAACAUAUUUCCAAAGAAGUUCUUCCAUUUACACAUACAUUAUUCAUUCUUGUGAACUCUUCUUUGCUCUUCUUGUUCUUAACUGCCCCUCGGACACAACUGGCACGCAGUUUUGUUCACGUGACUGAGCACUCAGAUCCACUGCUGUCAAUCGGUUCUACGUGUUUUCCAAAUUCCUCCCACUGUUUAGUGAUGAUGCAAAGGGAGCGUUCUGUGCCAGUUCUGUGACGACUGCAGGACAGUAUCAGCCUACAAGUAGAUGAGCAAACAACACGAGGUGCAGGAGCUGUACAAGCCUCAGCUGGAGAAGAGGAUAAGUAUGAGUUAUAUUUGGCCAGGAAUUGGUUUUUAAUGUCAGGGGAUACAGUGAACUUUGCAUGCCUGAGGAGGAAUCAAGAACAACUCCUUGUUCUGGCGCAUACGAUUGGAGGGUGGGAUCCAGGUCACGGAAAUCAGAUGCUGUUUGUAUUAGAAUUUCAGGUGGAACGAGAAGUUGGAAAAAUUAUACGUAAAUAGGACUGAACAUAUUUUGCCAUAUGACCAAAAGGCAAAAGUGUUUAACUAGGACUGUACAUUUUGAAAGCAAAACUAAGCAAAAGACUGAUGUACCCAGAGAAGUUUUCCCACUGAGAAAUACGACAUCUCUGACAUAUGAAAUAUCUGACAGCGUUUCAAAUGUUGUUCUCAUUACUCUGAAAGCGUGAAGACAAUACUGUUACAAACGAGAAAUUCCAACAUACCUUCUCACAGCUUCAGAUGAAUAUCUGUAGAGCAAAGAAGUGUCCUUAUUCACACUGAAUUCAGUUUCACAUCCACUGAAGUCAGCAUGAACGUGACAGUUGAUCAGGUCUCCAGUAUCUUAAAUGCAUCCUCAGUAUUCCUUUUAUGAUCUUCGUCUGUUUAUUGGACGUUUUUACUUAUGAAACACUGGAAGACUUCCUCACUAAUCAGAACGUUACAAGAUGAACUGUAAGAAACAAUCCGAAAGAAGCUGAUCAAACGGCUCCUUGCAUCUUUUCCAUAGCUUAUUUAUACUUUUGGAUACCAGUUCUGCCUCUUGUUGAUUCCAUUUGUGUUGCAAGAUGCAGACCUGCUUGAGGAAUGUGAGGCCUGAAAAGAAAAGUGUACUUUAAACUAUCUAUGCUUAAAAGCUGAACUGUAAGACCACAGUAAGAUAUAAUGGAAGAGUGAUUGUCCCGCUGUCAUGCCACAGUGCCUGUUAUGGAGGGACUUCUACAAAAGCACCUGGUGACACCUCUGUCCAUCUGAUGAAGGCUACGGGCCUAGCCAGAUUUUGGGUACCCUUCCAGCAGAUACUCUCACGUUCUUUUUUUCCCCGCAAUUUAACGUGUCCCAUGACGAUUCCCCUUUCAUGAUUACAAACAAUGUGCAUUUGGUAAAGACCUUUACACUUGAGGAGGUGAGACGUCAGUAUUUGCUUUUUACUCCAACUACUUCUUCAGUUUUCAAACUGAUAUAGAAUAUGAAUAAACUGAUUAA